GACGAACGCUGGCGGCGUGCCUAACACAUGCAAGUCGAACGGAGUAGAGAGCUUCGGUUUUCUACUUAGUGGCGAACGGGUGAGUAACGCGUGAGAAACCUGCCUUUCAGUGGGGGACAACAGUUGGAAACGACUGCUAAUACCGCAUAAUGUUAUUUGGGGGCAUCCCCGAAUAACCAAAGCUUUAUGUGCUGAAAGAUGGUCUCGCGUCUGAUUAGCUAGUUGGUGAGGUAACGGCUCACCAAGGCGACGAUCAGUAGCCGGUCUGAGAGGAUGAACGGCCAACAUUGGGACUGAGAUACGGCCCAGACUCCUACGGGAGGCAGCAGUGGGGAAUAUUGGGCAAUGGGGGAAACCCUGACCCAGCAACGCCGCGUGAAGGAGAAGGCCUCGGUUGUAAACUUCUUUUACCCUAGGACGGAAGAACGUAGACGGUACCUGGAGAAAAG
RNAcentral lists this ribosomal RNA (449 nucleotides) under uncultured bacterium. Its description in RNAcentral is "bacterial SSU rRNA". It matches the Rfam family "Bacterial small subunit ribosomal RNA", at positions 28 to 490 of the family's 1533-position model. The record is from RNAcentral.